ACCAACACCCUAGCAUAUGAUAGUCUAGCCAUGGAAGCAGUUAGCAUAUCACUUUGAAUAGGCUUGCUGACACUGGCAAUUUUAGAAAGACAUUUGAUGGACCAACAUUUUAGUGGGAGAUUGGGAAAUUUAACCCAAAUUGAAACAGUAUGCAUAUCAGAAGAAGAGAAAUCAAAAUAUUCCAGUAUGGCUUUGAGAAUAAAAGGUCUGCCAUAUACAAUUUGUCAGUUUCAUUGGCAAAUUUAAAGAUCAGCCAUCCAGAUUCGUGAAUAGUCAAGGAUGCUUCACAACGCCAGGUAUUAACAAUAAGACUCUACAAGGCUUUAUAGCCAGGGGAAUGGCCAACAAUAUAACCAACCAGACUCAUCUUCCACAAGUCACAUUUAGAGUCAAGAUCACCGUCAACCAAAUCGCAACCUUUAGUUUCAGUAAAAACAGAAUAAUGAAUGAGUUUGGGACAACUCACAAUGUUACGAUUGGUAACGAAGAGAUUAUGCCAAGGAUUAAUAGGAGAAUCGGAGGAUUAAGGAGCUCCUCUAGCUACAUUAUCCAAAGGUAUAGGGGUGAAAGACUAAUCGAACCGUCUAGUAGCUGGUUCCCUCCGAAGUUUCCCUCAAGAUAGUUGGAGCUCAGUGUGAGUUCUAUUAGGUAAAGCCAAUGAUUAGAGGCAUCGGGGGCGCAAUGCCCUCGACCUAUUCUCAAACUUUAAAUAGGUAGGACAGUGCGGCUGCUUCGUUAAGCUGCACCAUGGAAUUGAGAGCUCCAAGUGGACCAUUUUUGGUAAGGAGAACUGGCGAUGCGGGAUGAACCGGAAGCCGGGUUAUGGUGCCCAACUGCACGCUAACCUAGAACCCAUAAAGGGUGUUGGUCGAUUAAGAUAGCAGGACUGUGGUCAUGGAAGUCAAGAUCCGCUAAGGAGUGUGUAACAACUCACCUACCGAAUCAACUAGCCCCUAAAAUGGAUGGCACUGAAAUGCACGACCUAUACCCGAUCGUUGAGGCAAACACCAGGCCCCGAUGAGUAGGAGGGCACGACGGUUGUCGCAGAACCUGGGGCGCGAGCUUGGGCAGAGUGGCCGUCGGUGUAGAUCUUGGUGGUAGUAGCAAACAUUCAAAUGAGAACUUUAAAGGCCGAAGAGGGGAAAGGUUCCAUGUGAACGACACUUGUACAUGGGUGAGUCGAUCCUAAGAGACAGGGGAAGCCCGUCCAACAGCCUGUUCGCGCACGAGCUUCGAAAGGGAAUCAGGUUAAAAUUCUUGAACCGGGACGUGACGACUAACAACAAUGUUAGGAAGUCCAAAGAUGUCAGCAGGGGCCUCGAGAAGAGUUAUCUUUUCUGUUUAACAGCCCGCCCACCUUGGAAACGACUUAGUCGGAGGUAGGGUCCAGCAGCUGGAAGACCACCACACAUCGUGUGGUGUUUGGUGCGCCCCCGAUGGCCCUUGAAAAUCCGAAGGACCGAGUGCCUCCCACUCCCGGUCAUACUCAUAACCGCAUCAGGUCUCCAAGGUGAACAACCUCUGGUCGAUGGAACAAUGUAGCCAAGGGAAGUCAGCAAAAUGGAUUCGUAACCUCGGGAAAAGGAUUGGCUCUGAGGGUUGGGCUUAGGGGACCAAUCCCGAACCCGUCGGCUGUCAGUGGACUGCUUGAGCUGCUCCCGUGGUGAGAGCGGGUCGUCGCGUGCCAGCUAGGGGACGGACUAGGAACAGCCCCUCUAGGGGCCUUCCCCGAGCAUCGAAUAGUCGACUCAGAACUGGUACGGACAAGGGGAAUCUGACUGUUUAAUCAGCGCUCUGAAUGUUAAAGUGAAGAAAUUCAACCAAGCGCGGGUAAACGACGGGAGUAACUAUGACUUUCUUAAGGUAGCCAAAUGCUUCGUCAUCUAAUUAGUGACGUACAUGAAUGGAUUAACAAGAUUCCCACUGUCCCUAUCUACUAUCCAGCGAAACCACAGCCAAGGGAACGAGCUUGGCGGAAUCAGCGAGGAAAGAAGACCCUAUUGAGCUUGACUUGAGAGGUGUAGGAUAAGUGGGAGCUUUGGCGAAGGUGAAAUACCACUACUUUUAAUAUUAUUUUACUUAUUCCAUGAAUCGGAGGCGGGGCGCUGCCCCUCUUUUUGGACCCAAGGUCGCUCCGGCAGCCGAUCCGAGUGGAAGACAUUAUCAUGUGGGGAGUUUGGCUGGGGUGGCACAUCUAUUAAAAGAUAACGCAAGUGUCCUAAGAUAAGCUCAAUGAGAACAGAAAUCUCGUGUGGAACAAAAGGGUAAAAACUCGUUUAAUUUUGAUAUCCAGUACGAAUACGAACUGUGAAAGCAUGGCCUAUCGAUCCUUUAGACCUUCAGAAUUUGAAGCUAGAGGUGUCAGAAAAGUUACCACAAGGAUAACUGGCUUGUGGCAACCAAACGUUCAUAGCGAUGUUGCUUUUUAAUCCUUCGAUGUCGGCUAUUCCUAUCAUUGUGAAGCAGAAUUCACCAAGUGUUGGAUUGUUCACCCACCAAUAGGGAAUGUGAGCUGGGUUUAAACCGUCGUGAGAUAGGUUAGUUUUACCCUACUGAUGACAGUGUCGCAAUAAUAAUCCAACCUAGUACGAGAGGAACCGUUGAUUCACACAAUUGGUAAUCGUGCUUGGUUGAAAAGCCAGCGGCACAAAGCUACCAUGCGUUAGAUUAUGACUGAACGCCUCUAAGUCAGAAUCCAGGCUAGAUGCGACGCAUGCGCUCGCUGUCUGAUUGCCGACCUAUAGUAGGGGCCUCUCGGCCCUGGAGGCACGUGCCGUUGGCCAAGCCUUAGUAGUGAAAGAGCUGCGUGGGCCGCCUUGAAGUACAAUUCCCACCAAGCGGC
RNAcentral lists this ribosomal RNA (2842 nucleotides) under Populus euphratica (Euphrates poplar). RNAcentral's name for it is "eukaryotic LSU rRNA". It matches the Rfam family "Eukaryotic large subunit ribosomal RNA", at positions 449 to 3292 of the family's 3401-position model. The record is from RNAcentral. Lineage: Eukaryota; Viridiplantae; Streptophyta; Magnoliopsida; Malpighiales; Salicaceae.